UUCUUAAUUAAGAGGCAACUCUUAACUGGCCAUCUGGGGAAAAACCGAGAGGUUCAAGCCUAGAGGGCAGAAAGUCUUGCAGAGUAGCGCUAAAAUUGUAAGGCGGUCAUGGCUUGGCGGUAGCGCAUACAACGACGAGCCAA
This 143-nucleotide non-coding RNA is filed under the name unclassified sequences. The record is from Rfam.